RNAcentral lists this ribosomal RNA (375 nucleotides) under Hadroneura palmeni. RNAcentral describes it as "partial 12S ribosomal RNA". The record is from RNAcentral. Lineage: Eukaryota; Metazoa; Arthropoda; Insecta; Diptera; Mycetophilidae.
UAUUAUUAAAAAUGUAAAUAAAUAAAAAUAGAGUAGUAAUAGUUAUAUUCUUAAAACUUAAUAAAUUUGGCGGUAUUUUAAUCUAAUCAGAGGAACUUGUUUUAUAAUUGAUAAUCCUCAUUAUAUCUUACUUAAUUUUAUUUAAUUUGUAUAUCGUCGUCAUAAGAAUCUCUUAAAAAAGAAAAAAUUUUCUAAAAUAUUAAUUAUUAAUUAUGUCAGAUCAAGGUGCAGUUUAUAGUUAAGAAAAAAUGAGUUACAAUAAAUUUAUUUAAUAACGGUUAUAAAAUUUUAAAGUUUUAUAUAAGGUGGAUUUGAUAGUAAAAUAAAUAAUUAAAUUUAUUUGAUUUUAGUUCUAAAAUAUGCACAUAUCGCCCG